RNAcentral lists this ribosomal RNA (109 nucleotides) under Caerostris extrusa. Lineage: Eukaryota; Metazoa; Arthropoda; Arachnida; Araneae; Araneidae. The record is from RNAcentral.
GGCCAUACCAUGCUGAAUAUACCGGUUCUCGUUAGAUCACCGAAGUCAAGCAUCAUUGGGCGCGGUCAGUACUUGGGUGGGUGACCACCUGGGAACACCGCGUGCCGUU